This 4419-nucleotide long non-coding RNA is filed under the name Medicago truncatula (barrel medic). RNAcentral describes it as "lncRNA gene23372". The record is from RNAcentral. Lineage: Eukaryota; Viridiplantae; Streptophyta; Magnoliopsida; Fabales; Fabaceae.
UUUGUUUAUUAACCAAACAAUCCUAGGAAGGAAAGGUCGGCCGGCAAUUACACUCAACAGAUAUUUGACCUAUGGUCGACAUGGAAAAAGGGCGGUGAACCGACAAGCACCGCAGUUCAGCACUUUUCUGCAAACAGAAAGAAGCUAUUUUGUCUGAGAUGGACUUACCAAUAAGGGUAAAAUUACUAAGUGCUGAUCUUCACAAAGAAGGAACGAAAUUGAGUAGUGAUACUAAUAUUACUAAAUAAUGGCAAUCAAGAAUGACGGUUCUAUAGCAUAAUGAAUACAGCACAUCUUUACGAACUUAUUUAGAUUUCUGCAUCAAUUUUGUGCAAUCUUAGCAACUAAAGAAAUACAUGUUCUACAGUGCCUCGCUUUAAAAUAGCAAAAGUACAAUUAAACAAAACUGUAUUCAAGAUUAACAAAAAAAAACAGUUUUCCAAUGUUAAUAGACUUCAAUCUUGAGUUGCAGCACCUUGGUUCAGCUCAGCAAACCUCAUGCCAACACGCAUAGAGUGCUUCAGAAAUUUCUCUGCACAUCUUCGAACACAGGUUUCUUCUUGCUUUUGCAGGGAUUUAUGCUUAAACGUAUCCACACAAUCAUGAAAGCAUCUCUCCACCAGGUUAUUAUACAUUCUCAGGCUGCAAUGCAAUUUAAAUCAUAAUCAGAUAACCGUGUCUGGCAAUAUGUCAACUAAGCAAGCAAUCAUUAUAAUUGAGCAGCGCCAAAAAUACAAGAACCCCUUAAUGUAGUGAAGCAAUAACCAAUCACCCUAACAGUCAUAUGUAAAAUAAACAGCCAAAAUGAAGAGUUACAGAGGGAUAUUAAUUUAUUAGAACUUAUAACGGACUAGUGUGUGUUUGGAUUUCAUUUUGUAAGAGCUAAAACUUGAGUCACAUUUAAAAACUGAAAUUCUACCAUACCACUAAUCCAUCAUGAGACCCACAUUGAGUAGAUAAAAAAGCUCAAUAAAGUACUUUACUUAGGGUCUUUUGCGAUUGAAUAAUUUGAGCUUAUCUAUUGGCAGAAACACCCGUGAGACAGUUUGGGAGAACUAAGGAUAACACCUUAUGACAUGUUGAUAAUUUGUAUUCAUCUUAUUUCCAUAAGUUGUCCAGGAUAACGAAAAUAGAUGAAAACAGUUUGACAUUAUUUUAUCUUUUGUUAUAGAAAUAACUUAAACAUUAGCAUUUAUGCUAUAAACUGAUAAUGAAGUUGUUUAUCCAAACAAGGUCUUUAAGACAUGAGGUUCUUAGACUUGAUGAAAUAGUCUUUUGUAUUGGACUCUCCUUGUGGGCUUAAGUCAUAACAGUUUGUGCUUUCAUUGAGUGUUAGGCUACAGAAAGGAAUAGAAUAAGGUACGCAACUGAAUAGUGAAUACUGACAAAUGAGUGAACCUGCCAAAGGGGAAAGGAAUACCACCAGCAGGUGAAAGCCGUAGUAUAGGUUGGCUCUUAAAGUCUUAAAGGAUCAUAAGUCUCACUUUGAGUAGAUAAGACAAAUUAAUGUCCUAAUUAAGCCUCCAUCUAGUGAACUAGUGAGUAUCAAAACAAGUAAUUCAAACACAGCAACAAAUUACAGAGAAAUAAACCACUUGUUGAAAAUGUAGUUCCCAAAACGUCCAGAAGAAACAUUCAAAAGUUGCACUGGUUUUAAGGAGAACAUCAAUAUGGCUUCACAGAACAAGCAAGCACAUAAUUUGCCACUAUUAAGGAGGACAUCAAAAUGUGCUGCCAACGACUUAUAUACCAUGAAGCCUCAAAUUUUAAAAAAGAUUCAACCUGUAAUGCUAAUACAAACCAAUAAAAGAAAGAAAGAAAAAAGUAACCCCUAAAAUUUGCACGGUGGAAAACAAAUAAAUGUACGAACUUCGAGGCGUAAAUCUGGGGAAGAAAAUAGAGCUCAAUGUAGUACUUAACUCGUGUGUUAUGAGAUCCAAAUUGAGUAAAUAAUAAAGCUCAAUGUGGUACUUAAGUCGUGAGGCUCUUCCACCUAACGAACAAGUCUCUAGGGUUAGACUCUCCAUAUUGGCUGGUUACUGCGAUUGAUUGGGGAGAGAGUGCUAGUCUAACUGCCGGUACGGGUAUGCUAAUAGAUAGAGGAUCCGCCAGUCCUAGAAUCGGAAAGUAGCUUGUCUGCCGGACUGGCUGCUUCAUUGAAUGUGUCGAUCUUAUUCUAUAUAAGGAGUUGAUUUGCAUAAGGAGUUGAUUUGCAUCCUUGUCCGGCAGUUAGCUAAGCGUUGGCUUAAGUCAUAACUUAUAACAAUUAGUGUUUUCAUUGAGUUGGACUACAGAAAGUUCUACCUAUAGACUGAAUUAAGGUACACAGCCAAAUAGUGAUAGACGAAUGAAGCCACCAAAGGGGAAAGGGAUAACACCGGGUGAGAGGCGUUGUAGAUGCCUGUUCUUGAAGAGUUGACAACUUUAUGAAUUCCACAUUGAAUAGAUCAUUAAACGGAUAAGAAAAAUUAAAGUGGUAAUUAAACCAUGAGGCUCUCCCGAUUUAACGAACUAGUCUCUGGGCUAAACUUAGUUCAUGAGCUCAAGCCACCAUAAAAAUCUUGAGAGACCGAACCGAAUGACGGCACACAACUAAAAACUAGCCUAUUAUCCAAAAAAAAAAAAAUGACAGCUACAAGUGUUUAGAGAAAAAACAAGUAAUUCACACAACAACAGAUUACAUAGAAAUACACAACUUGUUAAAACUGUAGUUCCCAAAACGUCCAUAAGCAACACUGAAAAGUCACACUGGUUUUAAGGAGAACAUAACUAUGGCUUCACAUAACAAGCAAGCACAAAAUUAGCAACUACUGUGCUGCCCAUAACUUAUAAAUUAGCAUGAAGCCCUCAAUUCGAAAACAGAUUCAAAAAUUUGCAAGGUGGAAAAUAAAUAAAUUUACUAACUUUGAGACAUAGUGUAACUUAAGCAACAGAAAGAUUAUUCUUUUUUAAUUACCACGUUUAAAUCCUAAUUUAUUAGACUUUAUUGGUAACAGUCUAGAGUGUGUUUGGAUUUCAUUUUGUAAUAUCUAUAACUUUUGAGUCACCUUUUUGAAUUGAAACCCAAACACACCACUAAUAUUUUAUGAGACCAACAUCGAGUAGACAAGAAAACUCAAUGCGGUACUUAAGGCAUAAGGCUCGUAUUUGGUUUCUCCUGGUGAGCUUAAGGGUGUUUUCUGGAGGAGGUUUUUGAAGGGUUCUGGAUGGCUAAGCCUAUAUCUUGAAAUAUAUGAUAUUUUCCAAAAAAUAAAAAUAACACGAUAAAUGAUCAUAUAGUACUUCAAUAACACUUUAUUUAAUUUUCAAAAACAUUUUAUAGUGUCCGUAAUUUAACAAUGAAAAGUAAGUCCUCUCCUCCAAAACCCUCCAUCCAUACAUACCCUAAGUCAUAACAAUUGAAGUUAUCAUUGUGAGUUAGGAUACAGAAAGGGCUGCCUGUAGGCUGGAUGAAGCGCUGUCUAUAGGCUGGAUGAAGCUACACCACCGAAUACUGAUCGAUGAAAGAAGCCACCAACGGGAAAGGGAUAACGCCGGGGAAAGCCGUUAUAGACAUCGGCUCUAAUAGAGGUGGCAAUGUUAUGAGUUCCACAUUAAAUCUUCCAUGAUAUAGACAAGAAAAAUCAAUGUAGUAAUUAAGAAUCUCCCAUCUAACGAACUAGUUUAUGGGCUAGACUCGGCUCAUGAACUUAUGUCAUAACAAUAUUCCAUUAACUAGUCGAUGCAGUAAUUAAGAAUCUCCCAUCUAACGAACUAGUUUAUGGGCUAGACUCGGCUCAUGAACUUUAAGUCAUAACAAUCUUCCAUUAAACAGAUCCCAAAGGUACUAAAAGACAGCAUGAACAGCUACAAGUAACCUAUUCUCCAAAAAACAUGACAGCUACAAGUAAUUCACACAACAACAAUUACAGACAAAUAAACUUGUUAAAAAAUGUAGUUCCCAAAACGUCCAGAAGCAACAUUCAAUAGUCACACUGGUUUUAAGGAGAACAUCACUCUGCUUCACAGAAAAAGCAAACAAAAAAAUUGCAACUAUUGUGCUGCUAAUUAUUUACAAAUUACCAUGAAGCCCCAAAUUCCAAAAUAAACUCAACACAUUAUGCUAAUACAAACCAACAGGGAAAAAAAAACUAAUUUUUUUUGGUAAACAAAAAACCCUAAGCUUUACAAUGUGGAAAUCAAAUAAAUGUACCUCCUUUGAGGGGGGUAACAUAAGUAAUAGAAAAAUUAAUUAUUUUUAAUUAAAACAAAAAAAAAAAAUCAAUGAUUUUGGGAACCUCACCUGUCACGGAUUUGGAGCUGAUCGAUCAUGGUAGCCAUUCUUUGUUUAUCUGCCUCUGGAAGAUUUUCCAUAUCAGCAAUCAUGCUUUUGUCCAUUUUGAAUCGAACGAUUAAACGCAGUGAUUUAGGGGUUUGAGA